This 236-nucleotide ribosomal RNA is filed under the name uncultured bacterium. RNAcentral's name for it is "partial 16S ribosomal RNA". It matches the Rfam family "Bacterial small subunit ribosomal RNA", at positions 99 to 334 of the family's 1533-position model. The record is from RNAcentral.
CGACCGGGUGAGUAACACGUGACUAACCUACCUUCAAUGGGGGAUAACCUCGGGAAACCGGGGCUAAUACCGCAUAACAUCUCUGGAGCGGAAGAACUGGAGAUCAAAGGAGCAAUUCGCUGGAAGAGGGGGUCGCGGCUGAUUAGUUAGUUGGCGGGGUAAUGGCCCACCAAGACAGAGAUCGGUAGCCGGCCUGAGAGGGCGCACGGCCACACUGGAACUGAAACACGGUCCAG